The sequence is a small RNA, 45 nucleotides long. It matches the Rfam family "Acido-Lenti-1 RNA". The record is from Rfam.
CCCAGCGCUAUGCGCUGGGCUGAUAUAUAGCGCUCUUUCAGAGCU